GUGGGCUGUAACUCUUGA
Molecule: unclassified non-coding RNA, 18 nt
Filed under: Mus musculus (house mouse)
Lineage: Eukaryota; Metazoa; Chordata; Mammalia; Rodentia; Muridae
Description: oocyte_clustered_small_RNA1432
Source: RNAcentral